UACGUAGGGUGCAAGCGUUGUUCGGAAUCAUUGGGCGUAAAGCGCGUGUAGGUGGCUAGUUAAGUCGGGUGUGAAAGCCCUGGGCUCAACCGAGGAAGUGCAUUCGAAACUAGCUGGCUAGAAGAUAGUAGAGGAAGGUGGAAUUCCAAGUGUAGAGGUGAAAUUCGUAGAUAUUUGGAGGAAUACCGGCGGCGAAGGCGGCCUUCUGGGCUAUUCUUGACACUGAGACGCGAAAGCGUGGGGAGCAAACAGG
Molecule: ribosomal RNA, 253 nt
Filed under: uncultured bacterium
Lineage: Bacteria
Description: partial 16S ribosomal RNA
Rfam family: Bacterial small subunit ribosomal RNA
Source: RNAcentral